GACUUGUNCUUUCAUUGGAUUUGUAAANCUUCUUUAUAUACAGGGAAUAACAAAGAGUCACGUGUGACUCCCUGGCAUGUACCGUAUGAAUAAGCAUCGGCUAACUCCGGUGCCAGCAGCCGCGGUAAUACGCGAGGAUGCGAGCGUUAUCCGGAUUUAUUGCGGUUUAAAGGGUGCGUAGGCGGCCUGUUAAGUCAGCGGUGAAAUCUAGGAGCUUAACUCCUAAAUUGCCAUUGAUACUGGCGGNCCUGAGUGUACAUGAGGUAGGCGGAAUGCGUGGUGAACCGGUGGAAUCGCAUAGAUAUCACGCAGAACUCCGAUUGCGAAGGCAGCUUACUAAGGUACAAAUGACCCUGAAGCACGAAAGCGUGGGGUAUCANACAGGAUUAGAUANCCCUGGUAGUCCACGCAGUACNACGAUGAUAAUCUGGGCGUAUGCGAUAUACAGUAUGCUCCUAAGCGAAAGCGUUAAGUUAUCCACCUGGGGAGUACGCCGGCAACGGUGUAACUCAAAGGAAUUGACGGGGGCCCGCACAAGNCGGAGGAACAUGUGGUUUAAUUCGAUGAUACGCGAGGAACCUUACCCGGGAUUGAAAUGUAGAUGACCGCUCCUGAAAGGGAGUUUUCCUUCGGGACAUCUAUGUAGGUGCUGCAUGGUUGUCGUCAGCUCGUGCCGUGAGGUGUCGGCUUAAGUGCCAUAACGAGCGCAACCCCUGUCUACGGUUGCCAUCAGGUAAUGCUGGGAACUCACGUAGAGACUGCCGUCGUAAGGCGUGAGGAAGGUGGGGAUGACGUCAAAUCAGCACGGCCCUUACAUCCGGGGCGACACACGUGCUACAAUGGCUGGUACAACGAGUCGCAAGCCGGUGACGGCAAGCUAAUCUCUUAAAGCCAGUCUCAGUUCGGAUUGUAGGCUGCAACUCGACUCCGUGAAGCUGGAUUCGCUAGUAAUCGCGCAUCAGCCAUGGCGCGGUGAAUACGUUCCCGGGCCUUGUACACACCGCCCGUCAAGCCAUGGGAGUCUGGAGUACCUAAAGUCCGUAACCGCAAGGGUCGGCCUAGGGUAAUACAGGUGACUGGGGCUAAGUCGUAACAAGG
Molecule: ribosomal RNA, 1098 nt
Filed under: uncultured Porphyromonas sp.
Lineage: Bacteria; Pseudomonadati; Bacteroidota; Bacteroidia; Bacteroidales; Porphyromonadaceae
Description: bacterial SSU rRNA
Rfam family: Bacterial small subunit ribosomal RNA
Source: RNAcentral